UGUGGAUCCCGAUCCUUGGUCAGCUCGCAUUCGUUAUAGGUGGCGGGUGCCCCGAAACAUGGAAGGGGUUCUCAUCGAGUGCUUUUAGCGAUUUGUUGCCUGUCAUCAGACUGUCUUUAUCUUCGGGUGCCAUGGUUUGUUUGGAGCUAUGGUACAACAGUAUUUUGCUGUUGCUGACUGGAUACAUAAAAAAUGCGGAGGUUGCGAUCGAUGCCCUUUCUAUAUGUCUCAACAUUAACGGCUUGGAAAUGAUGAUUGCUCUAGG
RNAcentral lists this unclassified non-coding RNA (265 nucleotides) under Hevea brasiliensis (rubber tree). The record is from RNAcentral. Lineage: Eukaryota; Viridiplantae; Streptophyta; Magnoliopsida; Malpighiales; Euphorbiaceae.